Molecule: ribosomal RNA, 440 nt
Filed under: uncultured bacterium
Lineage: Bacteria
Description: partial 16S ribosomal RNA
Rfam family: Bacterial small subunit ribosomal RNA
Source: RNAcentral
CCUACGGUAGGCAGCAGUGGGGAAUAUUGCACACUGGGGGAAACCCUGAUGCAGCGACGCCGCGUGAGUGAAGCAGUAUUUCGGUAUGUAAAGCUCUGUCAGCAGGGAAGAAAAUGACGGUACCUGACCAAGAAGCCCCGGCUAACUACGUGCCAGCAGCCGCGGUAAUACGUAGGGGUCAAGCGUUAUCCGGAUUUACUGGGUGUAAAGGGAGCGUCGACGGCAGGGCAAGUCUGGAGUGAAAGGCGGGGGCUCAACCCGCGGACUGCUCUGGAACCUGCCAGGCUGGAGUGCAGGAGAGGUAAGUGGAAUUCCUAGUGUAGCGGUGAAAUGCGUAGAUAUUAGGAGGAACACCAGUGGCGAAGGCGGCUUACUGGACUGUAACAGACGUUGAGGCUCGAAAGCGUGGGGAGCAAACAGGAUUAGAUACCCCAGUAGUC